CCACAGCGCGGCAGAGGUGACCCUCAGCUAGCGGGACUUGUGGGCGGGCAGGCAUCUGGAAGAGUCACAUCCCCUCAUCCCACAAAUACACUCUAGAUGUCAGUGGAACUGCGCUUCUCCCCCCUGAGCUUGAAUUCCUGGGAACGAGGCUGCCCGGUAGUGGUCACGUGACGCCGGCGUCCGGCGUGUCCUCUCCAGGCAACCGUCCUGGGGACCGAAGACGCCGCUGGCUGCAACAUGGACAUCAUCUGCCCGCUGGCGGUGCCCAAGGGGCGCCGGCUCUGCUGCGAAGUGUGCGAAGCCCCGGCCGAGCGCGUGUGCACGGCCUGCACGGUCACUUAUUACUGUGGUGUGGUUCAUCAAAGAGCUGACUGGGACAGCAUCCAUGAGAAGAUCUGUCAGCUCCUGAUCCCACUGCGCACCACCAUGCCCUUCUACAAUUCAGAGGAAGAGCGGCAGCACGGCCUGCAGCAGCUUCGGCAGCGGCAGAAGCACUUGAUUGAAUUCUGCUACACUGUAGCCCAGAAAUACCUCUUUGAAGGAAAACACGAAGCCGCUGUCCCAGCAGCUUUGCAUUCGCUUCGCUUCCGCAUGAACCUACACGGCCUGAGUUCCGUAGAGCUUGUGCCUGCUUACCUGCUGCUGGCCGAGGCGAGCCUGGGUCUGGGCCAGAUUGUCCAAGCUGAGGAAUACCUAUCCCAAGCCCAGUGGACAGUCCUCAAAUCAACGGAAUGCUCUUAUGCCAUCCAGUCUUUACUGCAUCGGAACCUGGGACUUCUCCACAUAGCUAAGGAAAACUACGAGGAAGCCCGUUAUCAUCUGGCCAAUGAUAUUUAUUUUGCCAGUUGUGCAUUUGGAACAGAGGAUAUCAGGACGUCAGGAGGCUACUUCCACCUGGCUAAUAUCUUCUAUGGCCUUAAAAAGUUGGACGUGGCAGACACAUUGUACACGAAGGUCUCUGAGAUCUGGAGUAAAUACUUGAACAAUCGCUACCAAGUGCUCUCAGAGGCUCGUAUCCAACAGAUAGACUUACUGGGCAAACGAUUUGAGACUGACACCGGCUUGGAUGAAGCCCAGGAAGCAGAAGCCAUUCAGAUCCUGACUUCAGUCUGGAACAUUCGAGAAUCUACAUCCGACACAGCCCCCCAAAAAACUAUCUUUGUUCUGAAUACCCUGGUCAUGCUUUACUACCUGAUGAUGAAUUCUUCAAAGGCACAAGAAUAUGCUGAGAGAGCCUUCGGUCUAGCCAAAGAACACCAUCUCAGUGUCCAUGAACAAAGUACCAUUCAAGAGUUACUAAGUCUUAUCUCAGCUGAAGAAACUCAUCCUGUUACUUAGUGACCCAUGAACUCUGCAUCAGGGGCUAUUCAAGGGGCUAUUGAACGUCUAAUGCAUUUCAGCUUGCACAACUGCUUUGAGGAAGCUUGGAACUACAGUUCCCUGUAUCUCUUUUCUUUAUGAUUCUGGAUUGAACCUAGCCAGUGAGAGACAACUGCACAGGAUUUGGAAACUGGAGGAGAAGGAGAAGCUAUUAAUCUUCCUGAAAAUCACCCAGGUGCUUUCCUGAAAGCAGAUUUUGUGUGAAAGCAGCUUGCUGACCUUUGCUCCCUGCUCUUUAUCACCCGGCUGUUUCAAAGAUCAUUGAAGUCUCUAAUUCCCUGUAUUAAAUAAAGUUCUUCACUCUGAACACCUAGAGGCUUCUGUUUUCCCAGCUAAAACCUGACUGAAAUGCUUGAUGUUUCUUCUUGCAAUCUUUUACUUUCAAACAGUCUGUAUCCUUAUUUUUUAGAUAUAUCUCUUGUAAAAAUAUAGUUGGAUAUUUUUAUAUUGGUGACUGUUAAAGAA
Prionailurus viverrinus (fishing cat) is the source of this 1845-nucleotide RNA transcript. It is a transcript of the gene named zinc finger MYND-type containing 12, with no coding region annotated. The transcript has 10 exons. The record is from RefSeq and is a predicted model, not a curated record. Lineage: Eukaryota; Metazoa; Chordata; Mammalia; Carnivora; Felidae.